RNAcentral lists this ribosomal RNA (253 nucleotides) under uncultured bacterium. RNAcentral describes it as "partial 16S ribosomal RNA". It matches the Rfam family "Bacterial small subunit ribosomal RNA", at positions 80 to 334 of the family's 1533-position model. The record is from RNAcentral.
CCUUUACGAUGGCGACCGGCGCACGGGUGAGUAACGCGUAUGCAACCUGCCCGAUACCGGGGUAUAGCCCAUGGAAACGUGGAUUAACACCCCAUAGUACUUUUAUCCUGCCUGGGAUGGGAGUUAAAUGUUCAAGGUAUCGGAUGGGCAUGCGUCCUAUUAGUUAGUUGGCGGGGUAACAGCCCACCAAGACGAUGAUAGGUAGGGGUUCUGAGAGGAAGGUCCCCCACAUUGGAACUGAGACACGGUCCAA